Molecule: ribosomal RNA, 253 nt
Filed under: uncultured bacterium
Lineage: Bacteria
Description: partial 16S ribosomal RNA
Rfam family: Bacterial small subunit ribosomal RNA
Source: RNAcentral
UACGUAGGGUGCAAGCGUUGUCCGGAAUUAUUGGGCGGAAAGAGCUCGUAGGCGGUUUGUCGCGUCGAAUGUGAAAACCCGGGGCUCAACCCUGGGCCUGCAUUCGAUACGGGCAGACUAGAGUUCGGUAGGGGAGUCUGGAAUUCCUGGUGUAGCGGUGAAAUGCGCAGAUAUCGGGAGGAACACCAGUGGCGAAGGCGACUUCCUGGCCUGUUCUUGACGCUGAGGCGCGAAAGCUAGGGGAGCAAACGGG